UACGUAGGGUGCGAGCGUUAAUCGGAAUUACUGGGCGUAAAGCGUGCGCAGGCGGUUUGUCAAGUCUGAUGUGAAAACUCUGGGCUCAACCCAGAGCCUGCAUCUAAAACUGGCGGGCUAGAGUUCUGGAGGGGGUAGCGGAAUUCCUGGUGUAGCGGUGAAAUGCGUAGAUAUCAGGAGGAACACCGGUGGCGAAGGCGCACAUCUGGCCCAAUACUGACGCUGAAGCGCGAAAGCUAGGGGAGCAAACGGG
RNAcentral lists this ribosomal RNA (253 nucleotides) under uncultured prokaryote. Its description in RNAcentral is "partial 16S ribosomal RNA". It matches the Rfam family "Bacterial small subunit ribosomal RNA", at positions 524 to 776 of the family's 1533-position model. The record is from RNAcentral.